Long non-coding RNA from Aedes aegypti (yellow fever mosquito), 498 nucleotides. RefSeq lists it as uncharacterized. The record is from RefSeq and is a predicted model, not a curated record. The transcript is spliced from 3 exons. Lineage: Eukaryota; Metazoa; Arthropoda; Insecta; Diptera; Culicidae.
ACAGCAAUCUAAGCAGUCACUGGAAGUGAACAGAGAGGGGGCAAAAAGUGACAGCUGGCGAGUCGGUGGGCUGGUCGAUAUGUUUGUGUAUUUUGCCCUCCAAGAGUUUCUAGCGUUUUCAUAAAGAUGAUUUUGUUACUGAAAAUUGUUGCGUAUGACUUGGGAAGAUGCUAUCAUUUUCGAUUCCUGGAAUAUGGCUGUGAACACCAAACACCGUAGUGUUUUACUUACUACUCUGAAAGAUUCCAGACACAGAUGUUUGAUAUCCGGGGGUAAAACGUCAUUUAGGGCUUUUAUUAUGGGCUUUCGGGAAUCACCCUCAACGGAUCCCGAACGGACAUGCACCUAUUGCUUGUUAGGUUUAAGAAAAUGAAAUAUCAAACGGAUGAAGACAGCCAUUAGAAGAGAAGGAUGGACGGGGCAGGAAAUGUAGUGGUUUAGUUUAGAAAUGAUGAAAGUGAAGGAUGUCGUUGAAAGUAAAUAAAAAAGAGAAGUGAA